AUCGCGUGUCGGGCUUUUGGCUAAGAUCAAGCGUAAUAUCUGUUCUUAUCAGUUUACUCUCUGAAGACAACAUAUUAAAUGCAUUUUCGGAGCAGGGAGAUGGAAUAGGGGCUUCCCCAUCCACUGCUCCACUGCUCCAGGUUUGCUUUGAAUCUUU
This 157-nucleotide small nuclear RNA is filed under the name Canis lupus familiaris (dog). RNAcentral's name for it is "U2 spliceosomal RNA (multiple genes)". It matches the Rfam family "U2 spliceosomal RNA". Rfam says of the family: U2 is a small nuclear RNA (snRNA) component of the spliceosome (involved in pre-mRNA splicing). Complementary binding between U2 snRNA (in an area lying towards the 5' end but 3' to hairpin I) and the branchpoint sequence (BPS) of the intron results the bulging out of an unpaired adenosine, on the BPS, which initiates a nucleophilic attack at the intronic 5' splice site, thus starting the first of two transesterification reactions that mediate splicing. Lineage: Eukaryota; Metazoa; Chordata; Mammalia; Carnivora; Canidae. RNAcentral also lists the same sequence under 1 other name. The record is from Rfam by way of RNAcentral.